Sesamum indicum (sesame) is the source of this 717-nucleotide non-coding RNA. The record is from RefSeq and is a predicted model, not a curated record. NCBI's taxonomy places the organism in Eukaryota, Viridiplantae, Streptophyta, Magnoliopsida, Lamiales, Pedaliaceae.
GUGGAGCAAUGAACCACAAAUUCAGAUAAUUUCCAAGAAGCGUUCUCCAAGGCAAAGAAGCAUUGAAACAAAAAUACAGCAUGCAUGGUGUUCUGGAAAGUAAGAUUUACGACUUAUAUGACCUUUAUGUUGAGUCAAGGAACUGAAGAAGGAGAAGAUUCUAGUACGAGAUGCGGAGACAGUUACUAGCUUACACCAUACAUUUGAUGUGUUGCGAUCUUUUGUGGACUACGUUGUUGAGUUGCAGUUGCUAAGACCAACCUAAUCCAUCUGAUGACAACCUAAUCCAUAUGAUGACAGCCUAAUCCAUCUGAUGAUUUGAAAUCUAAAGAGAAAAAUGAAAAGAUGCAACGCAACAUUAAAGCUGACAAAGUAUGUUCUCGCUUACUUAUCUCUCUCUCUCUCUCUCUCUGUCUCUCGCAUACCGCUUGAUCUCUCGUCCACUAGUAUUCCAGGAGAGUCGCUUUUUGUCUUCACUUUAAUUAUGCGGACUUCUAGUUUUAGAUCAAUAAGGGGAAGAUGAAAGGGGAAGAGUAGUUGCUUUUCAAGGCGAGGAAUGAUACUUAUUCUGUGGACUCCUUUAGUUCAACCUAAAGGAAGGAGUUGUGUGGUACUUCUCCUUGCUUGAUAUCAUAGAAAUAAAGUAGGGAAGAAAGAUUGAUUUUUUAUGUUUACACGUUCAAAAUCAUCUCUUUUUUAUGGAAAAGAAAGCAAAUU